RNAcentral lists this ribosomal RNA (776 nucleotides) under uncultured Neocallimastigales. RNAcentral's name for it is "partial large subunit ribosomal RNA". It matches the Rfam family "Eukaryotic large subunit ribosomal RNA", at positions 1 to 616 of the family's 3401-position model. The record is from RNAcentral. Lineage: Eukaryota; Fungi; Neocallimastigomycota; Neocallimastigomycetes; Neocallimastigales.
UUACUAGAGUAGCACUCGCAUAUCAAUAAGCGGAGGAAAAGAAACUAACAAGGAUUCCCCUAGUAACGGCGAGUGAAGCGGGAAGAGCUCAAAUUUGAAAUCUUAAAGGGUUUCCCUUUACGAAUUGUAGUUUAAAGAAGUGUUUUCUGUUGAGGUCUUGGUAAAAGUUCUUUGGAAUAGGACAUCAUAGAGGGUGAGAAUCCCGUAUUUGACCUUUACUUUCAACUUUGUGAUACACUUUCAAAGAGUCGGAUUGUUUGGGAAUGCAGUCCAAAAUGGGUGGUAAAUUUCAUCUAAAGCUAAAUAUUGGCGAGAGACCGAUAGCGAACAAGUAUCCGUGAGGGAAAGAUGAAAAGAACUUUGAAAAGAGAGUUAAACAGUACGUGAAAUUGUCAAAAGGGAAGCGUUUGACACCAGUGUUGUUUUUCUGAAAAUCAAUUAAAGAACUGUUUAUGCUAAGCUGUUUAGACUUUAUCAGCUAUCUGUUUAGUUUUGAGCUUUUCUUUAAUGCACUUUUCAGUUAACAAGUCAACAUCAAUUUCUUUUGCUGUAAAAAAGCUUGAGGAAGGUGGCUUGAGAUUCGUCUUAAGUGUUUAUAGCCUCUUGCCUAUGCAGUCGGAGAGAUUGAGGUCUGCAGCGUAGAUCCUUCGGGGCUAAAUGCAUUUGUGCUAAGUUAUAGCAUUUUAUAGACAACUUGUUGACUAUGAUUUGUCUUGUAGCUUACUCGCUUAUGUUAUUUUACCUACGCUUAGGAUGUUGAGCGCAUGUCUCUCUCU